UGUAAGCGUAUACCAAAGUUGUUGCAGUUAAAACGCUCGUAGUCGGAAUUUGGCAGUUCCGGAUGUGUGCACGUCGUGUGCGCACUUCGCGGGGAUUGCUUUUGUGGUCUUGCGUGGGAUGAGGCACUUUUAUUAGUGAACGUCCUCACGCAACCACUUUUUACUGUGAGAAAAUCAGAGCGCUCAAAGCAGGCAUUUGCCGUGAAUGUAUUAGCAUGGAAUAAUAGAAUAGGACUUGGUUCUAUUUUGUUGGUUUGUUGGGACUGAGCAAUGAUUAAGAGGGACAGUUGGGGGCAUUUGUAUUUCGGUGCUAGAGGUGAAAUUCUUAGAUUACCGAAAGACAAACUGCUGCGAAAGCGUCUGCCAAGGAUGUUUUCAUUGA
This 382-nucleotide ribosomal RNA is filed under the name uncultured eukaryote. RNAcentral describes it as "partial 18S ribosomal RNA". It matches the Rfam family "Eukaryotic small subunit ribosomal RNA", at positions 592 to 976 of the family's 1831-position model. The record is from RNAcentral.